AUUGAACGCUGGCGGCAGGCCUAACACAUGCAAGUCGAGCGGAUGAAGGGAGCUUGCUCCUGGAUUCGGCGGCGGACGGGUGAGUAAUGCCUAGGAAUCUGCCUGGUAGUGGGGGAUAACGUCCGGAAACGGGCGCUAAUACCGCAUACGUGCUGAGGGAGUAAGUGGGGGAUCUUCGGACCUCACGCUAUCAGAUGAGCCUAGGUCGGAUUAGCUAGUUGGUGGGGUAAAGGCCUACCAAGGCGACGAUCCGUAACUGGUCUGAGAGGAUGAUCAGUCACACUGGAACUGAGACACGGUCCAGACUCCUACGGGAGGCAGCAGUGGGGAAUAUUGGACAAUGGGCGCAAGCCUGAUCCAGCCAUGCCGCGUGUGUGAAGAAGGUCUUCGGAUUGUAAAGCACUUUAAGUUGGGAGGAAGGGCAGUAAGUUAAUACCUUGCUGUUUUGACGUUACCAACAGAAUAAGCACCGGCUAACUUCGUG
Molecule: ribosomal RNA, 484 nt
Filed under: uncultured bacterium
Lineage: Bacteria
Description: partial 16S ribosomal RNA
Rfam family: Bacterial small subunit ribosomal RNA
Source: RNAcentral